Long non-coding RNA from Gadus morhua (Atlantic cod), 472 nucleotides. RefSeq lists it as uncharacterized. The transcript has 3 exons. Lineage: Eukaryota; Metazoa; Chordata; Actinopteri; Gadiformes; Gadidae. The record is from RefSeq and is a predicted model, not a curated record.
GGAAAUAAACUUAUUAAACACACAACUGUCGAUUUCCAUAACGUUUUCGUUAGUUAAUUAACAUAUUGUCAUUUGGCCUUCCCCCUGAGCUCUUGCGAAAUGGUUCAGCCGCAACGCACGAUGCGUUGAAUCGAACAGCAUCCGAAAUGUGAGAUGCUGGCACUGGCAGCAGGUGUACAGAGCGGCUGGGCUGGCUGAGGUCAGGUCUUAACCACAUGAUGGUGAGCUGGUGGUGACAGCUACAGAAAUGAAGUCAGGUUGGCAAAAACUGAAGAAAAGACGGGAGAAAGAGGAGAGGGCCAAAAGAGGCAGGCAACUGGUCACUCAAUUGUUCGCCAAUAAAGAAGGAGGAGGACAAGAUCCGCCCACGGCCACCACGACUGGAUCCCAUUUCGGAGAAGGAGUAAGCAGAAACGGUGGAUUUUUUUGCAGUGCAUCAUGUCUUCUGAAAAGACUAUUGCAGUUAUACAAG